GAUCGGAAUCAAGACCUUGUGCUUGCGAAGCAGGCAGCUGAAAUGGUGAGCUAAAUCUCCAGCCUUUCAACAGCCAUUACCACAGUGACUAUGGGCAGAGCUCAGCCCAGUGUUUUAUCAUUCACCUAGGUGACAUAACAUCAGUGAGGAAAGCAGGCUUUGGCAAGAGAGGACCCAGAUGACUUCCGGCUCCUAUGGUGUAAUGAAGUAACAGCUGCCUUCGAGUUCUGAGGGAGAAGCCCACACCUUGUGCUCUUACCACUUGAUGGCAAAUGACACGCGUGCUCGGGACCUGCCUGCUGGGCCGCUCAGCGGAGGUCUCCCUGAGCCCCGGCACACACAGUCAGGCUGCCUGCACAGGUGUGCCUGGUGUGGCUCCAGGGGCGCCAUCCUCCCAACAGCCGUCCGGAGGAGGGGCAGGAAUACGAGUCCAAGAGAGACAGGGAUGAGGCCCAAAGCGAUGAGGUGCUGCUCUCAGAUCCUGGUGACAGAGCCAGGAUGUAUCCUCAGGCACCCUCAUUCCAGAGUUCCCGAGGCCUCUGUGCCCUUCUACCUAUUACUUACAGGCGCAUGGUGAUGGUAAACUCCCCUUGUAGCUUCCCUCUGGGGGCACUGGCAGCCCUGGAGAAAGUACUUUCCCUGAUCCCCUGUACCUUGAAGGGGGGCUCUCUCUCCCUCCCUCUCCCUUUCUUCCUCCAGGGAGAUGCACGGCACUGUACAUAUUGUCCCAUUAGAUGGAACCUCUGCAAUACAUGGAAAAUAACAAGGCCUUCUGCUGCCGCAUACAGCCUUUGUGAAGCCGUGCAGCUCUCGCCUCAGAGUUGGGAUUUUACUGCCUCUUUGCCCCACAACCAAAACAUGUAAAGCACAUUUAGGGUUUGCAAAUAGGAAUAGAAACAGUUUCCUUAUGGACUGUUUCCCCUGCAAGAUUUUUUUGUUUUUGUUUUUGCCUUUGUCGUUAGUGUUGCUUUUCUAGAAAUGCAUGUUUUGUGUUCCUAAAUCCCCUUCUCGGGCAGUUUUUCUGUAUAACAACUUUAAAGCUCAGACUUAGAAACUCCCAUCUUCUCUCUGCCGUGAGAACCAAGGUAUCUACUCACACUUCUUCAAGAGUCUCUCGAAUUUCAAGACUUCAACUUUGUAGGGUUUUUGUCAUUCUUCAAACCUGUGCCCUAUUUAAAAGUCUAACAUGGCUCAGGUGAUCUGAUUGGUCUGCUGCUUUGAUAAUUAUAAGAAAUACUGGGUGCACCUGAAGAAGUCAAAGUUCCAGGCUCUUCACACCUAAGCCUAUCGCUGCGCCUAGACCAGGACAGUAGUUCCCACACCUGACAGCCCGCUGGCUGACUACAGAUCGCCCAUAGCUCCUCCUGCUAAGUAUGAUUCACAGUUAGAGGGGGGGAAAGGAGCAAAGGAACAGAGACAUCCUCUCCUUGAUGACAAUUUUAUAUCUGCGUUGAAUUUAAACUGUAAGUAUCAGCCUUCUGGAUCCACUUUUUCUAAAACUCCAACUUCGAUGGCAAUUGUUUCAAGCAUGUUUUGUUCCUUUUUUUCCUUCAUGUAGCGUGUAUGUGCAGGUCACAGUGUGUGAACAGAUGGGGUAUGUGGCCGGGCCAACUCAUUAACAUUAGAGACAGGGGACCCAUUGUCCUCCUAUAACUCCCAUCCGUCUACCUUCAUUUCGGUCACCAGGGUACCUAGUGGUUCCGUUAGUGAGAGCGAUGAGCGCCUUAUUAAUAUCAGCUCCCUAAAAUGCUGCUACUUGGUGUUCAAGAAGCUGCUUGCCAAUAUUUUGCGAAUCACUGAAACCUCAAUGAUUUCACUUACUAAGUUGCCGCUGAUAAUCGAGGUGAGACUGCCGGGUAUUUUGCGCAAAUUACUUCAUUCAGAGAUGAGUGGGAUGAGAAUGGGCGUAGUCUAAAUCACAUUAUGGACAUCGUGUGGUUUAAAACUAUCAAGGCCAAGCCCAGAAAUGUCUCAGAGGCUUUGGCUAAAGGAGCACCAGAAACUAUGUGCUCCUCAUAAGGGUGUAUUAUUUCAAAAAGAUUUCAGAGGAGCAGGCAUUCUCCCCACACUUGGACCUCUUCCUGCUUUUUCUUGGAGCCAGUAUUUCCUGGCAGACUUGGAUAGAACAAAACCAGGAAGCUCUAAGCAGCAUGGAACUCUCAGGUGUGGCCUUCAAGUUUCUCCUGCACCUCCCAGGAAGCAUUCGCAGGAGCGCAUUGAAACUGGAUGCGAAAAGAAGGAAAUUUUGUCACAUGCUGCCGCAUGGAUGAAACUUAUGAUGUUACACUCAAUGAAAUAUGCCGCUCAUUGAUUCUCAGUUUUGGAGAAAAGUAAGGAAUAUCACAGACAAGACAAUGUGGAAGCCGAUGUUCAGAACUGCACAGUGGCUUUUCAAGGACCACCCAGUUGACUUUGUCCUCUAUUUUACAUUCCCCUCCCUGUGUGUGCCAUGGAAACUUUUGGCUAAUUGUUUGGAUGGUUAUCAAGGUUUGAAUACAAUUCAGUUCAGCAACCACAUACUGAUUCUAGAAGGAUUGCACUGAGUCAAGUUGUUAGAGUAUCAUAAAAAUCCUUUUCUUCUCUAAAUUAUGUGUAGGUCAGUACACAAUAUACAAAUCCUAGGGCUAUCCAGACUCACUUCCCGAUGAGCCAAACCACUUUUGAAGAGUUACUUGCAUCCUGUCAGGUGC
Fukomys damarensis (Damara mole-rat) is the source of this 2690-nucleotide long non-coding RNA. RefSeq lists it as uncharacterized. NCBI's taxonomy places the organism in Eukaryota, Metazoa, Chordata, Mammalia, Rodentia, Bathyergidae. The record is from RefSeq and is a predicted model, not a curated record. The transcript is spliced from 4 exons.